This 4563-nucleotide long non-coding RNA is filed under the name Solanum tuberosum (potato). Its description in RNAcentral is "long non-coding RNA (STUB_LNC007290)". The record is from RNAcentral. Lineage: Eukaryota; Viridiplantae; Streptophyta; Magnoliopsida; Solanales; Solanaceae.
UACUAUAUAUAUUUAUUAGUUAAAUAUCAUUAGGAAUAUCUUAGGGUAGAUUCACAAAUCUCAUUUUCCCCAAAAUACCAUUCUUCGUUCCAAGGAAACCCUAUCUCCUUCAUACCUUUCCCCGUGAAGUUCAACUAGCGAUUUCUCCUCUCCCUUUCCCUACGCCCUAGUAGAUCGACUCUAUACAAAGAGAAUUUGAAGAAAUGAACAUGAAUUUUUGCUUGGGUCCUUAAGAUUCUGUGAAAAUGGACUCAGGUGACGAUUAUUCGGAAAUCAGAAUCAUGUAAUUCAGCUACUGAUGCUGAGAAAACGGGUUCAGGUAAUUUUUCUUUACUUCUUUCUACCUUUCAUAGUUAGGUUAAUUAUUUUGACUAUUUGUUCCUCUUUCGUGGUGAAUAUUCUGAAAUUUUAUAGUUUUAUUGAUGAGAUUUUGGAUGUAUUUCAUGUAUUAGUGUUAAGUUUUAUAUAAUGAGUGCUAGAAAUUGUUCUCUUAUAGAUUCACCAUAUGUUAUCCCCAGGGGCGGACUCACGUUGGUUCCAGGGUUCACCCGAACCCCCUCGGCAAAAAAUUACACUGUAUAUAUACGGUAAUUUUUUGUAUUUAUGUGAAUAUAUAUAUUUUGAACCCUCUCAAUAACAAGGAGAAAGAGAUAGCCCAGUGGCAUUUUCCUUGAAAAUUAAGUCUCGUGUUGAGGGUUCGAAUCCCUGCAUUAGCGUUUUAUUUUUUUCUUUUUCAGUUUCAGUUUUUUUUUUUUAAGGUUUCAGUUCUGUUUUCACGUUUUUUUUAGUUUUUUAUUUUUAUAAAACAUGCUAAAAGUGUGGUUUUAAACCCAAAAAAUUCAAGGGUCCACCACUAAAACUAAAUACUACUACUUUCUUGAAAUUUUGUUUUGUUGGCUUAUAUAUACACGUUUAUACUUUUAUUUUUAGAACCUCCUGAACGAAAAUUCUGGGUCCGCCACUGGUUAUCCCUAUUUACAACGCUCUUAGAUACAAGAGAAGGGUUUGUUUGUAUAGUACUUGAUUUGUUUUGUUUGGUGAGUUGGAACAUGAACAAAUGAAGCAUCAAAUGAUGUCAGAAAAAUGUGGUUUAGAUCAAGAAAAUCAAUGGUCUCUACCUUUGUUGAAGUUUGUGUCUCUCAUAUUUGCCUUUUUUUUUUAUCGUGGCAUCAUUUUAGUCAGCUACACCUCGAUUAAUUCUCUCUAUGGACUAGCUUCAUGUUAUGUCAAUUCUCUCCAACAUAUUUGGAAAGGGCUACAAAAAUUGUGAGUAUGAAGCCAUGGACUGAUCAAAGUGGCACCUCUGAUUGUUGUUUUUGCACAAAGAUUUCUCAUUCUCCAAAUGUUGUGACAUUCAAAGAAAAAUAUAAUCUCACUAAACAAAAACAUGAUAAAGAUGACAUAAAAGAUUUCUCAUUUUAGCUUUUCUUCAAGAGUCGCUCUAGUGUUUCUUCCUCCUUCUUGAGGAUUUUUUUUGUUAUGGAGAAGAAAAGUAUUAGUUGUUAGAGCAAGCUAAUGUGAACUCUUAUAUAUUCAAUAUGAGUAUGUAAAUAUAAUAGAAUAUUGAAUAUGUGAUGAGAUUCUUUACCUUUGUAAUUGUGAGUAUGUAUGUGUGCUUUAUGUAUCUCUGUAUUUUCUCAAGGAUAUAGGAUCAUGAAUAAUCUGUCAUAAUGAUCUCAUCAUCUGUGUAUUAAUGUAGAGCUUAAAUUCUAUGCACUAAUAGUUUAAAAGAUAUCUAUACAAUUAAAUCUCAUUAAAAAAGUAAUUAACUAAAAGGUGUUUUAUCAUAGUUUGAGGACGUGGAAGUUCAGGAACCACGUCUCAGCCAGAAAAUACAACCAAUAGGGAUUACCGAGGUAUCUCUAGAGACGGGAUAAUCAUGUACUUCAAGAGAAGGGCCUCUACAAACAGGACAAGAUGUUCCAAGAACAAAUGGUUGCUAUCAUGACUAGAAUGCAAUAGGUACUUGUUUUCACCUUCUUUAAAAGUCUACUCCUUUUCUUGACAAUUCUUCUUUCUUACUAUUUGAUAAUUAUUUUGUGAAUUGCUCCAUAUAUGUUGUUGAGUUGCUCUUUUAAAUCUGGUUUUCUUUAUGACGCAUACGAAGUGUUUGAAAAAACUUCUGAAAUAAAGUAAGCAUGAAAAAACUGUUAGUGUAGUGUUCUUGAUCCUCUUUUCUUUUUUAGAAAAGGGUGUUGUUGUUGUUUUUAUUUUCAACAAAUUUUGUAUGACUUUGUUACUAUAAAUGACUUUCAUCUUUGUGGCAUUUGAGAAGGAUGGAGGAACAAAACCUGUAAGAUUGUUACUUUCCAUGUUUAAAUCUCUCAAAGUUUUUGGAUUUCCAAUGACUUUUGAGAUUUGUCCCUUUAAAGCAAUGAAGGCUAAAACCAAAGUAGCAAGACUGAAAAUGUUAUGAAGAGAAGAAGGUACUAAACUAGUGAAACUAUUAUUUGUAAGAGAGAGAACUUAAAGGUGAAAAAAGUCCCAACCACAAGAAGCAUCAUGAAACCACCAAUAGGACAAGUGUAGUAUUAGUAGUCAUGGCAAAAGAAACAAACUGCAAACUGACCUGAGAACUUAAAAGAGUUAAAAGUCUUAAAAAGCAACAAAUAUACUACUUAUACAUGAAUAGCUAGUAAAUUGAGCAGCCAAGUGAUUAUAUUAAGUUACGCUAACACACAAACAGAACUAGCUAAUAUGGUUUAAGAAUGUUAUGUUACAAAAAUAGAUGUGAGCUAAAGUGGGUGUAUGAGAAAAGGCUCAAAAUGAUCCUUUAUCUUUGAACAUAGAUUUAAAGUGAUCCUUUAUAUAUUAUAUGGAGCACUAAUAGUCCUUUAAGUUUGCAAUAAUGGAGUACAUUCAGUAGUACUCCAAAUAUAAACAAUAAAAUUUUAGUGGCAGCUGAUGACAUACAAAAGUCAAGCCCAUCUGCAGAUAGCAGACUUAAAUUGAGGAACUGAAGAACUUUGAAAAAUUCCUUAUGAAGGGACUGCAUUCAAGGAAUCACCUGAAACAUUAUAUUAUCUUUGCUUAGUUUGUUAAUGAUUCUCAAAAUGGAGAAUUUUUAAAAGAAGCAUUUUGUCGGAUACCUCAAACUACCAGGAUUGACAUAACCAUUUAUGUAUAUGAGAAAAAGAAAGUAGCACCUAUUUCUUAUUGCAAGAACUUGAUGUGGCAAAAAAAGUAGGAAAAAUACCUAGCUAAUGAAUUAACUAUAUGAACUCUCACCUUUGGAAAUUAUAUAUGAAUCUGAAAAGUGAAACAAUGACUAUCUUUCUUAAAAAGUUUGUAUAAUUCUUUCCGGCUGUAUCAAGUAAAAGGUUCUUUAUCCCUCUUCCUUUAUGUUCACUUGAGAUAAAGGUUGCAAACUACAAAGCAUCACAACUCAUAUUCUGGAUCUCAACAUUAGAGUUCUUAUGUGGUCUAAACCUUGAGAAUUGAAUAGAUGCUAGUUAGCAUCUAAAAAUACUUGCUUAUAAUAGCUCGAUCCUUUGAAAACCCUUGAGCAUCACAGAUAGACCUUGCAAAUUACAUACCUUUGUUGUUAGAAGCAUAAUUCAUAAGGUGUUAUUUUGUCGUCUUUUUAUUCAAUACUUGUCAAAAUGACAUACUUGUUAGGCUGAUUUUUUUCUUAAAAUUUCUUGAGGUUGUCUAAACUUGUACAAUUUUAGUAUUUCAGAAAUAAGUGAAAUCAAGUUGGCUUAGUCCUGGUAAGGUGCAUAUCUCAAGAUUUUGAUGAAUAACUUGUAGAUUUCUCAGUUUAUUUUGGGAAGAAGUUGAGCUUUAACAAUAUCUUAUGUUUUUAACAUGUUUGUAAUUUAUGAUGGGUCUUGCUUCUUUACAUGAUAUAUACAAAUUACCAAGUUGGUAGAUGCUUCUUGAACUUGCUAUUGCCUACUAUUUAUUAUUUGAUGUCUUUUUUGUUUUCUUCAUACUUCCACUCUCAAUUGCUUGUGCUUUCUGUAUAUUGUAUUGUGAGCUUCUUCCUCUGACUAUAACUUUUGAUCCAUUUUCAUAUUUCUUUAAAUUUAUCUUUAGAAGUGUCUGAACUAUUAUGUCAUUGCUUUUUAUAAUCUUAAUCACUCUAUGUCAUCCUUUUUUAUUAUUAGCAUUAUAUUAUGAGAUAUUAAAAUGAUUUUAUCUUUCUUUUAAUAACAGGAACAAGGUUCUUAAAUAAUGGGGCUGCCCAAGGAUAAGCCUGAAGGCGUGCAAUGAAGUUUUUAGAUCAAAUGUGUGUAUGCAUAUAAUGUCACCUAUGUAAUAUGUAGUAUGCAAUUGGCUUUCUAGUAGUGGACUUAUAAUAUUCAGCUUGAGGAUGCUUUUGCAGUUUGUAAAAUACUACUGCUUUUAAUAGUUAUAUAUCAAUUUUAGAGAAUUUUAUUGCAUGGAAAACUUAGUAUAAUUUUGUUUGUGAUGUGGUUAUAAAUACCAUUUAAUGGGGACAUAUUUUGUGGUGACUAUUAUUGUAGUGCAACUUGUUCUUUAGUAACAAGGUGAAAUUUGCCACAAAUGAAAUAUUAGUUUUUGUGGCGACAUAUUUCAUUACUAAAAGUCAUUUUUCAG